AUUGAACGCUGGCGGCAUGCUUUACACAUGCAAGUCGAACGGUAACAGGCCUUCGGGUGCUGACGAGUGGCGAACGGGUGAGUAAUGCAUCGGAACGUACCCAGAGGUGGGGGAUAACGCAGCGAAAGCUGUGCUAAUACCGCAUGUGAUCUGAGGAUGAAAGCGGGGGACCGAGCAGCAAUGUUUGGCCUCGCGCCUUUGGAGCGGCCGAUGUCGGAUUAGCUAGUUGGUGGGGUAAAGGCCUACCAAGGCGACGAUCCGUAGCUGGUCUGAGAGGACGACUAGCCACACUGGAACUGAGACACGGCCCAGACUCCUACGGGAGGCAGCAGUGGGGAAUUUUGGACAAUGGGCGCAAGCCUGAUCCAGCAAUGCCGCGUGCGGGAAGAAGGCCUUCGGGUUGUAAACCGCUUUUGGCAGGAACGAAACGGUGUCCGCUAAUACCGGGCGCUAAUGACGGUACCUGCAGAGUAAGCACCGGCUAACUACGUG
This 492-nucleotide ribosomal RNA is filed under the name uncultured bacterium. Its description in RNAcentral is "partial 16S ribosomal RNA". It matches the Rfam family "Bacterial small subunit ribosomal RNA", at positions 30 to 507 of the family's 1533-position model. The record is from RNAcentral.